CAGGCACUUAAUCAGAUAGAUAGCCCCAUCAAGUUUACGUCUAACAUCAGUUCUACAGCGGUACAAUUACUGGAUUUAGAAAUAGCCAUUACAAAUCAGGGCUUAUCAUAUUGUCUUUAUGGGAAACCUACUGACAGGAAUACCAUUCUACAUAACACCAGCGCACACCCGGUGGCAUUGAAGAGGUCUUUACCUAAAGCCCAGUUUUUGAGAGUGAUUCGGAAUAACUCAGAUAUUAACAUCAUGGAGAAACAACUUGAAGAAAUGGUGGAGAGAUUUCUUGAGUGUGGCUACCGAUGAAAUGACCUAGUGAGAGCAUUAGAAGAAGCUAAGUCAGCCAAUUCUCCUAGAGCCAAAGAAGGAGCCCCAAGACUGGUCUUUCCAAU
Non-coding RNA from Pelobates cultripes (western spadefoot toad), 386 nucleotides. The record is from the annotation of a GenBank genome assembly. Lineage: Eukaryota; Metazoa; Chordata; Amphibia; Anura; Pelobatidae.